GCCCAGGUGGUGGAAUUGGUAGACACACUAGAUUCAGGGUCUAGCGCCGCGAGGCAUGGAGGUUCGAGUCCUCUCCUGGGCA
RNAcentral lists this transfer RNA (82 nucleotides) under Myxococcaceae bacterium. Its description in RNAcentral is "tRNA-Leu". It matches the Rfam family "tRNA". From Rfam's summary of the family: Transfer RNA (tRNA) molecules are approximately 80 nucleotides in length. Their secondary structure includes four short double-helical elements and three loops (D, anti-codon, and T loops). Lineage: Bacteria; Pseudomonadati; Myxococcota; Myxococcia; Myxococcales; Myxococcaceae. The record is from RNAcentral. RNAcentral also lists the same sequence under 2 other names.